GACGAACGCUGGCGGCGUGCUUAACACAUGCAAGUCGAACGGAAAGGCCCUGCUUGCAGGGUACUCGAGUGCGAACGGGUGAGUAACACGUGGGUGAUCUGCCCUGCACUUCGGGAUAAGCCUGGGAAACUGGGUCUAAUACCGGAUAGGAGCCAUUUUUAGUGUGAUGGUUGGAAAGUUUUUUUCGGUGUAGGAUGAGCUCGCGGCCUAUCAGCUUGUUGGUGGGGUAAUGGCCUACCAAGGCGGCGACGGGUAGCCGGCCUGAGAGGGUGGACGGCCACAUUGGGACUGAGAUACGGCCCAGACUCCUACGGGAGGCAGCAGUGGGGAAUAUUGCACAAGGGGCGCAAGCCUGAUGCAGCGACGCCGCGUGGGGGAUGACGGCCUUCGGGUUGGAAACUCCUUUCGCUAGGGACGAAGCUUUUUGUGACGGUACCUAGAUAAGAAGCACCGGCUAACUACGUG
RNAcentral lists this ribosomal RNA (465 nucleotides) under uncultured bacterium. RNAcentral's name for it is "partial 16S ribosomal RNA". It matches the Rfam family "Bacterial small subunit ribosomal RNA", at positions 28 to 507 of the family's 1533-position model. The record is from RNAcentral.